Molecule: long non-coding RNA, 880 nt
Filed under: Setaria italica (foxtail millet)
Lineage: Eukaryota; Viridiplantae; Streptophyta; Magnoliopsida; Poales; Poaceae
Description: long non-coding RNA (SITA_LNC006666)
Source: RNAcentral
UGGAGUAUGAUAGAAGUAAAGGGUGAGUGUUAGGCUAGCCACUAAAGAGAGGGUGUUGUACACUCUUGUGUAAUAUUGUUGUGUUGUAAUAAAGUUUUGUUUCUUACAAGUGUUAGUCUCCCGAUUGGACUAUAGAGUUUCUAAGUAGUUAGUGCAUAAGUUGUGAUCCAUCGAAAGUUGGCUUUGUCACCCGGGAUCACAAGGGUCUGGACUUCAUCAUAGGUUAGCUCUGCCAGCCGGAAGUCAGCUUUAUCUGUUGGUAGGCUCUGCCACCCGGAAGUGAGAAGGCGGCUCUGCCGUCGAAAGGACCCGUCGUACUAAGUAACUAGAAAUUAAAAGAGCUGACCGACUCCAAAGUGAGUUGGUGUCUUAGGUAUAGCUCCUCAUAUUAGUGGGUAUUAGGACCACCUCAAUUUCCAACAGUUUACAUCUUUAAUCUUUGGAUUUGCUAUCUCCCUAACAUAAAUGCUUGUGUUUCUGCCUGUAAUGUAUCACAUAGGCAGCCCUUGUAGGUGGAAAAAGAGGAGAACGAGCAGAAUGUGGAGAACAAGGAGCGGGAGCAGGAGCAAGCUCCUCAAGAAGUAUGGGGUCACCAAUCAACCCUCGCAGAUCUGAGGACCUCCAAGCUGCCUGAACCUCUUGGCAAUUUUGUUUUUUCUAUGUUGUGGUGGCUCUGUUAUGUGAGCUGCUUGGCUUUUUUGAGAUCCGAGGCCAGUUGUAUCAGCUUUGAGAAAAGAUGAUGAAUGAUGGUGGACUGUUUCUGCAAUGCAACUGAUGCUCUGGGGCUCGAACCCUAGAACUUGAUUAAGAAACAUCUUUACCACGCGUCUUUAUAUUUUGCCUUUCUUUUUUCUAUCAAUUUUUCUGCAUCGUGUGAUUU